CUAUGCCUACGGGGGGCAGCAGUGAGGAAUAUUGGUCAAUGGGCUUACGCCUGAACCAGCCAAGUCGCGUGGGGGAAGACUGCCCUAUGGGUUGUAAACCUCUUUUGUCAGGGAGCAACGCCGGCUACUUGUAGCCGGACUGAGAGUACCAGAAGAAAAAGCAUCGGCUAACUCCGUGCCAGCCGCCGCGGUAAUACGGAGGAUGCGAGCGUUAUCCGGAUUUAUUGGGUUUAAAGGGUGCGUAGGCGGAAUGCCAAGUCAGCGGAAAAA
This 270-nucleotide ribosomal RNA is filed under the name uncultured bacterium. RNAcentral describes it as "partial 16S ribosomal RNA". It matches the Rfam family "Bacterial small subunit ribosomal RNA", at positions 333 to 599 of the family's 1533-position model. The record is from RNAcentral.